CAUGCAAGUCGAACGCGUUGGCCCAAUUGAUUGACGGUGCUUGCACCUGAUUGAUUUUGGUCGCCAACGAGUGGCGGACGGGUGAGUAACACGUAGGUAACCUGCCCAGAAGCGGGGGACAACAUUUGGAAACAGAUGCUAAUACCGCAUAACAACGUUGUUCGCAUGAACAACGCUUAAAAGAUGGCUUCUCGCUAUCACUUCUGGAUGGACCUGCGGUGCAUUAGCUUGUUGGUGGGGUAAUGGCCUACCAAGGCGAUGAUGCAUAGCCGAGUUGAGAGACUGAUCGGCCACAAUGGGACUGAGACACGGCCCAUACUCCUACGGGAGGCAGCAGUAGGGAAUCUUCCACAAUGGGCGCAAGCCUGAUGGAGCAACACCGCGUGAGUGAAGAAGGGUUUCGGCUCGUAAAGCUCUGUUGUUAAAGAAGAACACGUAUGAGAGUAACUGUUCAUACGUUGACGGUAUUUAACCAGAAAGUCACGGCUAACUACGUGCCAGCAGCCGCGGUAAUACGUAGGUGGCAAGCGUUAUCCGGAUUUAUUGGGCGUAAAGAGAGUGCAGGCGGUUUUCUAAGUCUGAUGUGAAAGCCUUCGGCUUAACCGGAGAAGUGCAUCGGAAACUGGAUAACUUGAGUGCAGAAGAGGGUAGUGGAACUCCAUGUGUAGCGGUGGAAUGCGUAGAUAUAUGGAAGAACACCAGUGGCGAAGGCGGCUACCUGGUCU
RNAcentral lists this ribosomal RNA (725 nucleotides) under uncultured Bacilli bacterium. Its description in RNAcentral is "bacterial SSU rRNA". It matches the Rfam family "Bacterial small subunit ribosomal RNA", at positions 54 to 735 of the family's 1533-position model. The record is from RNAcentral. Lineage: Bacteria; Bacillati; Bacillota; Bacilli.